RNAcentral lists this ribosomal RNA (465 nucleotides) under Vreelandella stevensii. RNAcentral's name for it is "partial 16S ribosomal RNA". It matches the Rfam family "Bacterial small subunit ribosomal RNA", at positions 338 to 795 of the family's 1533-position model. The record is from RNAcentral. Lineage: Bacteria; Pseudomonadati; Pseudomonadota; Gammaproteobacteria; Oceanospirillales; Halomonadaceae.
CCUACGGGAGGCAGCAGUGGGGAAUAUUGGACAAUGGGGGCAACCCUGAUCCAGCCAUGCCGCGUGUGUGAAGAAGGCCCUCGGGUUGUAAAGCACUUUCAGUGAGGAAGAACGCCUGGUGGUUAAUACCCAUCAGGAAAGACAUCACUCACAGAAGAAGCACCGGCUAACUCCGUGCCAGCAGCCGCGGUAAUACGGAGGGUGCGAGCGUUAAUCGGAAUUACUGGGCGUAAAGCGCGCGUAGGUGGCUUGAUAAGCCGGUUGUGAAAGCCCCGGGCUCAACCUGGGAACGGCAUCCGGAACUGGCAAGCUAGAGUGCAGGAGAGGAAGGUAGAAUUCCCGGUGUAGCGGUGAAAGGCGUAGAGAUCGGGAGGAAUACCAGUGGCGAAGGCGGCCUUCUGGACUGACACUGACACUGAGGUGCGAAAGCGUGGGUAGCAAACAGGAUUAGAUACCCGUGUAGUC